RNAcentral lists this ribosomal RNA (253 nucleotides) under uncultured bacterium. Its description in RNAcentral is "partial 16S ribosomal RNA". It matches the Rfam family "Bacterial small subunit ribosomal RNA", at positions 524 to 776 of the family's 1533-position model. The record is from RNAcentral.
UACGUAGGGGGCAAGCGUUGUCCGGAUUUAUUGGGCGUAAAGAGCGUGUAGGCGGCCUGACAGGUCUGCUGUGAAAACUCGAGGCUCAACCUCGAGAUGUCGGCGGAAACCGUCUGGCUAGAGUCCGGAAGAGGAGAGUGGAAUUCCUGGCGUAGCGGUGAAAUGCGCAGAUAUCAGGAAGAACACCGAUGGCGAAGGCAGCUCUCUGGGACGGUACUGACGCUGAGACGCGAAAGCGUGGGGAGCGAACAGG